CAAUAGCGUAUAUUAAAGUUGUUGCGGUAAAAAAGCUCGUAGUUGGAUUUCUACCGAAGAUAGCCGGUCGGGUCUUCGACCUUGUAUCUGGUUUUGUCUUUGGUAUCCUCAUAGGGAACGUUUCUGCGCUUUAUUGCGAGGUGCGGUAUCUAUGACUUUUACUUUGAGGAAAUUAGAGUGUUCACGGCAGGCAAACGCCUUGAAUAUAUUAGCAUGGAAUAAUAACAUAGGAUCUUCGUCCUAUUUUGUUGGUUUCUAGGGCUAAGAUAAUGAUUAAUAGGGAUAAUUGGGGGCAUCUGUAUCAACGCGUCAGAGGUGGAAUUCUUGGAUUGCGUUGCGACAAACUACUGCGAAAGCAUUUGCCAAGGAUGUUUUCAUUGA
RNAcentral lists this ribosomal RNA (381 nucleotides) under uncultured eukaryote. Its description in RNAcentral is "partial 18S ribosomal RNA". It matches the Rfam family "Eukaryotic small subunit ribosomal RNA", at positions 592 to 976 of the family's 1831-position model. The record is from RNAcentral.